CCGGAAUUACUGGGCGUAAAGAGCUCGUAGGUGGUUUGUCGCGUUGUUCGUGAAAUCUCACGGCUUAACUGUGAGCGUGCGGGCGAUACGGGCAGACUUGAGUACUGCAGGGGAGACUGGAAUUCCUGGUGUAGCGGUGGAAUGCGCAGAUAUCAGGAGGAACACCGGUGGCGAAGGCGGGUCUCUGGGCAGUAACUGACGCUGAGGAGCGAAAGCGUGGGGAGCGAACAGGAUUAGAUACCCUGGUAGUCCACGCCGUAAACGGUGGGUACUAGGUGUGGGUUUCCUUCCUUGGGAUCCGUGCCGUAGCUAACGCAUUAAGUACCCCGCCUGGGGAGUACGGCCGCAAGGCUAAAACUCAAAGAAAUUGACGGGGGCCCGCACAAGCGGCGGAGCAUGUGGAUUAAUUCGAUGCAACGCGAAGAACCUUACCUGGGUUUGACAUGCACAGGACGCCGGCAGAGAUGUCGGUUCCCUUGUGGCCUGCGUGCAGGUGGUGCAUGGCUGUCGUCAGCUCGUGUCGUGAGAUGUUGGGUUAAGUCCCGCAACGAGCGCAACCCUUGUCUCAUGUUGCCAGCGGGUAAUGCCGGGGACUCGUGAGAGACUGCCGGGGUCAACUCGGAGGAAGGUGGGGAUGACGUCAAGUCAUCAUGCCCCUUAUGUCCAGGGCUUCACACAUGCUACAAUGGCCGGUACAAAGGGCUGCGAUGCCGCGAGGUUA
Molecule: ribosomal RNA, 721 nt
Filed under: uncultured Mycobacterium sp.
Lineage: Bacteria; Bacillati; Actinomycetota; Actinomycetes; Mycobacteriales; Mycobacteriaceae
Description: bacterial SSU rRNA
Rfam family: Bacterial small subunit ribosomal RNA
Source: RNAcentral